This 506-nucleotide ribosomal RNA is filed under the name uncultured marine eukaryote. RNAcentral's name for it is "SSU rRNA". It matches the Rfam family "Eukaryotic small subunit ribosomal RNA", at positions 617 to 1129 of the family's 1831-position model. The record is from RNAcentral.
GGUAAAAAAGCUCGUAGUUGGAUUUCUGUUGAGGGCGACCGGUCCAUACAACGUAUGCGCAUCUGGCUCGGCCUCGGCAUCCUCUCGAUAGACGUUUCUGCGCUUGAUUGCGUGGAGCGGAUCUCGGGACUUUUACUUUGAGGAAAUUAGAGUGUUCACGGCAGGCUAUCGCCAGAAUACAUUAGCAUGGAAUAAUACUAUAGGAUCUUGGUUCUAUUUUGUUGGUUUCUAGAAUUGAGAUAAUGAUUAAUAGGGACAAUUGGGGGCAUUCGUAUCAACACGUCAGAGGUGGAAUUCUUGGAUUGUGUUGCGACGAACUACUGCGAAAGCAUUUGCCAAGGAUGUUUUCAUUGAUCAAGAACGAAAGUAAGGGGAUCGAAGACGAUUAGAUACCGUCGUAGUCUUUACCAUAAACUAUGCCAACUAGAGAUGGGGCAUCGUUCACUUACGACUUGCUCCGCGCCUUAUGAGAUAUCAAAGUCUUUGGGUUCCGGGGGGAGUAUGGU